GAAUGAGGAUUGCUGGCCAACGAUAUUCAUCGUCUCAAGAUGCGUUGGCUGCUGGCUGUGCCCUGCGUUCUGGCAGUUAUGAUUCCCGACAGCUACUCACCAACCCUAAAUUUGUUGCUACCUUAGAUGGGGCUUGUGCCAGGUAGCAGAUCGAACAUAAAUGAUUGUGAGAGCUUAA
Molecule: small RNA, 178 nt
Filed under: Drosophila pseudoobscura pseudoobscura
Lineage: Eukaryota; Metazoa; Arthropoda; Insecta; Diptera; Drosophilidae
Description: GA32050
Source: RNAcentral